This is a long non-coding RNA of Solanum pennellii, 4672 nucleotides long. RefSeq lists it as uncharacterized. The record is from RefSeq and is a predicted model, not a curated record. Lineage: Eukaryota; Viridiplantae; Streptophyta; Magnoliopsida; Solanales; Solanaceae. The transcript has 18 exons.
UCUUUAAGCUUUCUCUCUUCUUUUUUCUUCUUUUUUUAUGAUGGAUUUUACUACUGUGAUUUCAAAAUUUGAUUAUGAUGCCUUGCUUCUUAGAUUCUUUAGGGAUUUAUGUUGGAGAAUUUAAUUUCUUGAUGUUUCUUGAUUGGAAUUUAACAGUGUUAUUGAUAUUGUUCUACAAUGUCUGUAUGAUUUUUUCACCAACAUUCUACAAUGUCUUUUCUGUAGUGAAGAAUGUAUGGUACCUAUAGUUGUCUGAGGGAUGUUUUGGUAACUACUUUUAGGGUUUUCUCUAGGGUUGUAAUUGUUUGGGAAAUCUGUAAUGGUGAAGUACUUGAUUAAGAUCAAAUAUGUUUCUGGGUUCUUCAAGCAACCUUUCUCUUCUUCUUUUUUCGAUGGAUUUUCGUACUGCUAUUUCAAGAAUUUGACUUGUUGAUAUUUCUUGAUUGGGAUCCAACCGUGCAAUUGCUAUUGUUUUGCUUUAGUGGUUGAUUAUUGUCAGAAUUUACAAUGUCUGUGUGAAUUUUUAUCAAGAUUCUACAAAGUCUCUUUAGUGAAGAAUGUACGGUACCUAUAGUUGUCUGAUGGAUGUUUUGAUUACUACUUUUAGACUUUUCUCUAGGGUUGUAAUUGUUUGUAAAACCUGUAAUGGUGAAGUACUCGGAUCAAAUAGAUUUCUGGUUCUACCAACAGUUGAAUGCCUGCUAUAAGAUUGGAUGAUACUAUUUGGUUUUAAUAAUCAGUGUGCGUGUUGCCGUCGUCACAGUUCUUUAGGGCUUUAUGUUAAAGAAGAAUCUGACUUCUUGAUGUUUCUUGAUUGGCAUUCAACAAUUGCCUAUGCCUAAUUCUAGUGCUAAUAUGCAAGAGGAGUUUCAGUGGUACUAUUUCCAGUGCUUUUACAACCAACCAGUUUGAAGAAAGCAAAUGUGUUCCUGCCCAAAGGGGGUCUUGCAUUCUGUGAAAGAAUCUGCUGAGGAUCACCCUUGUGCAUCCCACAGUGUCUCCUUCAAGAUUGUUGUUAUUGAAAGUGAGGAUGACCUGCUUUGCACACGUGAUUCUCCUUCUCUGUUGCCACUAUUGUUAAGUGGGUUAGGGAUUCAUCUGGGUUUCCUUAACAAAUUGAAUGCAAGUGAUGGUUCAUUCAAUCUCUUUGGAUACAUCUCAGGUCCUGACAGUGAAGGUAUGCAGGUCCAUAUUGAGGGAUAAGAGAUGUGAAGAGAGUCUCAAGAAUUAUUUGAUACCGUGAGCUAUGCUCUCCUCUAGGGUAGAUAGGGACUCACAUAAAUUUAUUGAUGCUGGAAAUCGAGGUAAAACGGAUGAGCUUAUAAGGAAGAAGAAGAGUAGAAGAAAUCAUUCAGCUCCUCCAUGUUACCAAGGCAAGAAUAAGUUCUUUGCCAUGAGUGAGUCUACAAGAACGGCAGCAGGAAAUCACAGUAUUAAGACUAUUCAUGAUGUGCCCAUUCAUGCCCUCAAACUAGAGAAACUAGAGCAGUAAGUAGACUGCAUCAUUCUGCUGGGAGCUUCCACAGCAGUCAUCCCAUUAAUGAAAGGCCAAGUGUGAAAGGGAACUUGUUAACAUUUGGAAUAGCAAUUUGCAAGCUCAAGGGGAGUGUACAUGUACACACGAUGGGGAGUUAAAAGAAGAAUUUGUACCAACAAGAAGUUUUUAGAUUCUGGGAUGAAAUGGAGGGACUUCCAGGGAUUACAAACAGUGCUGGAACAGAGAAUCUUAAUAAUCAGUAUACUGUACUCAGUGUCACUUUUGGCGUCUUGCAUUUUGUUAGCGAUUCAUUGAUUCCUGAUACCAUUGAUAAAAACUGCCUGGCAGGUGCCAAAGUUCUCAAACAGGUUGAUAAGAAGUUUAUUCCGAUUGUGGGAGCAUAACACCUGAUAUAACUGAUCAGGUAUCUGUUGCUAUGGCAUUGUUACCUGCUAUGUUAAGGUGGAUGACAAUGGAUCUGGUGUUUCACGAGAUGGAUUGGUGCUGAUGGGAUAAAGAUAUGGUAAUCUUUCUGCAAAAUGUUGGACCACCAUCAUCUGUUCUAUUGUAUUGAUGUUGCUCAACAUCAAAAUACAGCCAUUCAGAUGAUAUUCAAGCUUUGGUUUUAAAAGAGAGGCUUUGAGCUCCAUUCUCUUCAUCAAAAUCCUUGUCUCUUCAUCUUCUAUGAGUCUGCGAGUCACAACUUUGAGAAUUCUUUCCCAUGGUUGAGAUUCCAUUCAGCACAACAAUUUCUCCAUGAAACGCUAAAUCAAGCAAUGACCAAACUUAGCCGAAUUUCAGAACCAUUGAACUGGUGCAUACCCCUUGUUGGAUUCUCGAGUUUAUAGUGUUUCAGUGGACGAGUCCACUUGAGCUUUGUAUUGCUUCUCGGCGGUGGAGACUCCUUAGCAAGGAAGCUGGAGCUGCUUAUUCUUUUUUGAUCUCUUCCAUUGUUAAAGGUGAAGGGUGACUGUCUUUUGCAACGUAAAGGCGCGGACAUGAUUUUCUUGUAAAAUCGUUUUAAUAUCAACGUUGUAAGUGGGCUAAUAUCUCCUGACAUGCAUUCGUAUGUGAAAUACUUGUGCAAUCUACAGCUAUGAAAGGGCUGAGAUCCAAACUUUGUAAUGUUGACACCGACCAAGGAGCACUUGGCAGAAGGAAUAAACUGGAGAGUUGGGAAGAGACCACCGACUUGUCACUUCCAAUCAUGGUAAUACCGUUAUGAGGGAAUAACUAAAGAAUGUAAAUCGCAUUACACCUCUUCAUGAUUUUGCAGCCAUGCUGAGAAGUAGCUAGUUUAAUACUUUGUUCAUUUCGAAUUAGGUACCACUUUAAACUAAUAACCUUAUGAGUCUAGAUUCAGUAAGUUUCACUGUCCUUUGUUUUAUGGUGGUUUCAUGUACAAUCUGCUAACAUCCUUUGAAUCUAAUGUUAUCAUCAUCUGCAGGUACAAAAAUUAUAUUUACUAUGUGUGCGGAGAUCACAUAGAGUUGAACAUUCUCAUCUAUAACUAAUAUUGGAGCAUCCUCCUUAUUGUUUGACAAUAGCAUCUUUGUGUAUGACAUCACUGCUUGAUUAUAAGAUGUUCUGCCAACUUCCGUUGCAAGCCAUCAACACUUAUCUCAAAUCUACAUUUUGCUUCCUCACAAUACUUGCAAGUACAUACUAGAUCCACCCAAUCUGUUGGUAUUCUGUCAUGGCCUCACCAAUUUUAUUGUGCUAGACAGUUUAACAGAUCAUUAUUGUAAUAGUACAAGUGAUGGUUUGUUCUGUCUGGAUAAUUACAAGUCAGACCUGUAGCACAUGGCUUAUGAUAUCACCGCCUGCUUAUGGGAAGUUCUGUCUCUUCAAUUAACACCUAUGCUAUCGAGUUCUGCAAAAUUUGUUUUCAAGAUAGGUGCUCCAAGGAUGAAAACUUUUGCUGAAAGUUAUGAACAAGUUAUUGGCAUAACAAUGAAGAUACCCCUUUCAAAUAUUUGCUUCGUGACGAAAAGUUAUGCUAGCCCUUUCCUUAGCAUUCCCUUCUUAAUUUAUUUACUUUAAUUCUCUUUCCAUGUUUGAUUAAGCUUUUUCACUCACUUUUAAAAUUGUAUUGGUAUGUGUUGUUUUCUUAGGAAUAAUGGUGCCAGAAUUCAGCAAAAAAUUGCUGUCAAGGAAAGAAAAGAAAAGAAAACUUCAGCGUACAAACUGCAAUUUUAAGAACAGAUCGCUGCAAGUAGUACAAUCAUGGCGAAGUUAGAUAGAUUGCCGUUUCAGGUGUUGACUUUCCCGGAGAAAGUUACCUAUCCUUCUCCCUUCAAUUUCCGUGCUUUUAUUUACCUUUUGUCUCAUUGUUUCCUUUUUGUCUUUCCGUGGUCAAUUAAGCUUCACUAACAGGCGAUUUUACUGGUGUCUGUUAUUCCCCUGGAAUUCCUGUGCUAGUUUGUAUGUUCUAGUAGUAGUACGGACAUUGAGAAAAGCUUAAGAAAGGCAUUUGAUGGGCUUUGGCCGAGCAGAUGGUGUUUGGAGGAAGCUCUUCAAACUGUGAAGAGCGAGGAGGCUGGCGACAAGCCCAUGGAUGUGGCUUGAACCCGAUGUGAAAUGUGAAAACAUGUACAAUAAAGUAGGUUUUCCAUGUCAGUCAGGCAUGUCAUAUUACAGUUUUUCAGGUGGAGUUCAAUUUCUUUCUAUCUUUUGUCACAUUUCCUCUUCAGCUGGAUUCAGUUGCAGCAUAAAUUUUCCAGAUUUGUAAAUCAUUCCUUGCCUUAGACAAGAAGCUGAAUUUCCUUGGUAGUCAGGUGUGUCCUACUGUCCUAUCAUGCUUUUUCUGGUGGAAUUCAAUAUCUUUCUUUUUUUCUUAUUUCCUCUUCUGCUGGAUGAUUGUUACUCGUUGUAUUACAAUGUUAGUUUAAGAGCGACUUUUGUUUUGAUUUUCACUUAAAUUUUUAUUUUAUCAUAAUCUUUAAAAUUUCCUACCAUUUAAAGAAAAAUAAAAAAUCUCCUUCAGAAUCACUUAUGCCUGAGGUAUAAGCAAGUCAGUGAUCUAUUUGGAUUUCCUAUUCCCUCUAUGAUAUAUCUCUCCCCUCUCGGAUACAUCUUUUGCCCGUGUAUCCGGAAGUCUAGUGAUACAUCCGAAAUCCAUAGGAAAUAAUGUAAUUAGCUCUUAACACUAUGAGAUUUAUGUAAAUCAUACUAAAUUUUAUUGUAUCGUUUAAA